GGGGGCGUUCCGGAUUCGACUGGGUAGACGCGUCAUGGGUUGCAUGCCGAGGGCGGUUUGGUGCCUCGUAAAUCAUCCUUACCAAAAACACAACUGCCAACGAAGAAUUGGCUCUCGCGGCCUAAUUAAUCCGCGACGUCUGCCUCCUGACGCCGACUAGGGAGAGCGGGCGACGACAGACGGCUAGGGGAU
This 192-nucleotide transfer-messenger RNA is filed under the name Verrucomicrobiales bacterium. RNAcentral describes it as "partial transfer-messenger RNA". It matches the Rfam family "transfer-messenger RNA", at positions 1 to 208 of the family's 374-position model. From Rfam's summary of the family: Bacterial tmRNA, also known as 10Sa RNA or SsrA, is named for its dual tRNA and mRNA-like properties. Its role is to liberate the mRNA from a stalled ribosome. The record is from RNAcentral. Lineage: Bacteria; Pseudomonadati; Verrucomicrobiota; Verrucomicrobiia; Verrucomicrobiales.